AGUGAACGCUGGCGGUAGGCCUAACACAUGCAAGUCGAACGGCAGCACAGUAAGAGCUUGCUCUUACGGUUGGCGAGUGGCGGACGGGUGGGGAAUACAUCGGAAUCUACUUUUUCGUGGGGGAUAACGUGGGGAAACUUACGCUAAUACCGCAUACGCCCUACGGGUGAAAGCAGGGGAUCUUCGGACCUUGCGCGAUUGAAUGAGCCGAUGUCGGAUUAGCUAGUUGGCGGGGUAAAGGCCCACCAAGGCGACGAUCCGUAGCUGGUCUGAGAGGAUGAUCAGCCACACUGGAACUGAGACACGGUCCAGACUCCUACGGGAGGCAGCAGUGGGGAAUAUUGGACAAAGGGCGCAAGCCUGAUCCAGCCAUACCGCGUGGGUGAAGAAGGCCUUCGGGUUGUAAAGCCCUUUUGUUGGGAAAGAAAAGCAGCAGGUUAAUACCCCGCUGUUCUGACGGUACCCAAAGAAUAAGCACCGGCUAACUUCGUG
This 492-nucleotide ribosomal RNA is filed under the name uncultured bacterium. Its description in RNAcentral is "partial 16S ribosomal RNA". It matches the Rfam family "Bacterial small subunit ribosomal RNA", at positions 29 to 507 of the family's 1533-position model. The record is from RNAcentral.